Molecule: ribosomal RNA, 494 nt
Filed under: uncultured bacterium
Lineage: Bacteria
Description: bacterial SSU rRNA
Rfam family: Bacterial small subunit ribosomal RNA
Source: RNAcentral
AACGAACGCUGGCGGCGCGUCUUAAGCAUGCAAGUCGAACGGCAAGAUUGGUGCUUGCACCGAUCCUAGAGUGGCGGACUGGUGAGUAACGCGUGGGUGACAUACCCUCUGGAUGGGGAUAGCUGAUAGAAAUAUCAGGUAAUACCGAAUAAGAUUCUGCAGGUUAGAGUGGUAGAAAGAAAGGUGCGUCAGCACCGCCGGAGGAAUGGCCCGCGUACUAUUAGCUAGUUGGUGAGGUAAAGGCUCACCAAGGCGACGAUAGUUAUCCGGCCUAAGAGGGUGAACGGACACAUUGGGACUGAGAUACGGCCCAGACUCCUACGGGAGGCAGCAGCUAAGAAUAUUCCGCAAUGGACGAAAGUCUGACGGAGCGACGCCGCGUGGAUGAAGAAGGCCGGAAGGUUGUAAAGUUCUUUUAAGCAUGAAGAAGGAUUAUUGCAGGAAAUGGCAGUAAAGUGACGGUAGUGCUUGAAUAAGAGGCGGCUAAUUACGUG